AUUGAACGCUGGCGGCAGGCCUAACACAUGCAAGUCGAACGAGUGGCGGACGGGUGAGUAAUGUCUGGGAAACUGCCCGAUGGAGGGGGAUAACUACUGGAAACAGUAGCUAAUACCGCAUACCAUCGGAUGUGCCCAGAUGGGAUUAGCUAGUAGGUGGGGUAACGGCUCACCUAGGCCACGAUCCCUAGCUGGUCUGAGAGGAGGACCAGCCACACGAGAACUGAGACACGGUCCAGAAUCCGACGGGAGUCAGCAGUGGGGAAUAUUGCACAAUGGGCGAAAGCCUGAUGCAGCCAUGCCGCGGGUAUGAAGAAGGCCUUCGGGUUGUAAAGUACUUUCAGCGAGGAGGAGUUACUCGCAGAAGAAGCACCGGCUAACGCCGUGCCAGCAGCCGCGGUAAUUC
Molecule: ribosomal RNA, 406 nt
Filed under: uncultured bacterium
Lineage: Bacteria
Description: partial 16S ribosomal RNA
Rfam family: Bacterial small subunit ribosomal RNA
Source: RNAcentral